UAAGGAAUAUUGGUCAAUGGACGCAAGUCUGAACCAGCCAUGCCGCGUGAAGGAUGAAGGUCCUCUGGAUUGUAAACUUCUUUUAUCUGGGACGAAAACGGGAUUUUUAUCUCAAUUGACGGUACCAGAGGAAUAAGCACCGGCUAACUCCGUGCCAGCAGCCGCGGUAAUACGGAGGGUGCGAGCGUUAGCCGGAUUUACUGGGUUUAAAGGGUGCGUAGGUGGGCUUAUAAGUCAGUGGUGAAAUCUCCGAGCUUAACUUGGAAACUGCCGUUGAUACUAUAGGUCUUGAAUUAUCUGGAGGUAAGCGGAAUAUGUCAUGUAGCGGUGAAAUGCUUAGAUAUGACAUAGAACACCAAUUGCGAAGGCAGCUUACUACAUAUAAAUUGACGCUGAGGCACGAAAGCGUGGGGAUCAAACA
RNAcentral lists this ribosomal RNA (421 nucleotides) under uncultured bacterium. Its description in RNAcentral is "bacterial SSU rRNA". It matches the Rfam family "Bacterial small subunit ribosomal RNA", at positions 355 to 774 of the family's 1533-position model. The record is from RNAcentral.